UACGGAGGGGGCCAGCGUUGUUCGGAAUCAUUGGGCGUAAAGGGCGCGUAGGCGGCCAAUCAAGUCCGACGUGAAAUUCCCCGGCUCAACCGGGGGCCUGCGUCGGAUACUGCUUGGCUUGAGUCCCGGAGAGGGUAGUGGAAUUCCCAGUGUAGCGGUGAAAUGCGUAGAUACUGGGAGGAACACCGGUGGCGAAGGCGGCUACCUGGACGGGUACUGACGCUGAGGCGCGAAAGCUAGGGGAGCAAACAGG
This 253-nucleotide ribosomal RNA is filed under the name uncultured bacterium. RNAcentral's name for it is "partial 16S ribosomal RNA". It matches the Rfam family "Bacterial small subunit ribosomal RNA", at positions 524 to 776 of the family's 1533-position model. The record is from RNAcentral.